CCAGACUCCUACGGGAGGCAGCAGUGGGGAAUAUUGCACAAUGGGGGAAACCCUGAUGCAGCGACGCCGCGUGAGUGAAGAAGUAAUUCGUCAUGUAAAGCUCUAUCAGCAGGGAAGAAAAUGACGGUACCUGAGUAAGAAGCCCCGGCUAACUACGUGCCAGCAGCCGCGGUAAUACGUAGGGGGCAAGCGUUAUCCGGAUUUACUGGGUGUAAAGGGAGCGUAGACGGCAGUGCAAGUCUGGAGUGAAAGGCGGGGGCUCAACCCCCGGACUGCUCCGGAAACUGUGCAGCUAGAGUGCAGGAGAGGCAGGCGGAAUUCCUAGUGUAGCGGUGAAAUGCGUAGAUAUUAGGAGGAACACCGGUGGCGAAGGCGGCCUGCUGGACUGUAACUGACGUUGAGGCUCGAAAGCGUGGGGAGCAAACAGGAUUAGAUACCCCCGUAA
This 445-nucleotide ribosomal RNA is filed under the name uncultured bacterium. Its description in RNAcentral is "partial 16S ribosomal RNA". It matches the Rfam family "Bacterial small subunit ribosomal RNA", at positions 331 to 793 of the family's 1533-position model. The record is from RNAcentral.